Long non-coding RNA from Stomoxys calcitrans (stable fly), 1103 nucleotides. RefSeq lists it as uncharacterized. The transcript has 3 exons. The record is from RefSeq and is a predicted model, not a curated record. NCBI's taxonomy places the organism in Eukaryota, Metazoa, Arthropoda, Insecta, Diptera, Muscidae.
UUUGUGUUGCUUACGAACAAGACACUUGUGCCUCCUCUUAAAAAUUCCUACCAUUUUUGGACCAUUGGGUCCCAUAGAAGAGCUUUGGAGGCUUUCCUCAGGGCUGCCUAAGCCCACAGGAUUUUUUGCCUUUUUCUUGCCACCUUUAUGAGGUUUCUACAUAUUGUAUAUUCACGGCACUGUCGAGCACCGCAGAAAAGAAAACCACCGAUUGAAACCUGUCCUCGGCUCAGUUCCCUUUUUCUUGCUUCUCAGCAAAAUUUUAUUGUGGUUUGCUUACACUGGAAACACUGGAGAAUUCAGUCUUCUAUUGUCGCUGCAUCCUACAUAUCGUCUCUAAACACAGGGGUUCGUUGCCCGACGAAGAAAUUAGACCGGAUAAUAUGUGAGAUUCGAUGAAAGUGUGUAGUUUUAUGGCCUGGAAGCCCGAGAAUCAAUGAAAAGUGGUAUAGUUUCGACAUAGAAAGCCUGCCAAUUAACCCCCUGUCCGUAAUCGAACAACAGAAAAACGUACGAUUGUUUCGUGAUAAUUACUGUGAACAAAACUUAACAUCUAAUAACUGCCUGGAAUUAUUUUUCUGCCCAUCCAACACAUAGUAUUAUAUAUUUCUUUUUAAAUUUUUAUAUUACUUUUCAUUUUGUGAGACAAAAUUAUAAAAUAGUUUUUCUUUAGUAUGUGCUAAUUUUGCUCGGAGUUGGUGUGAUUUUUCUAAUAGGUUUUAAAACGGGAAAAAGGUGAACAAGAAAUAUUGCAAAAUUUGCAAAAAAAAAAAAAGAAAGGGAAAAAAUCUGAAAACAUAGAAUUUAAAUAAUUAGAGUUGUGAGAGAAAAAUUUUGUUGGCAAUUCUUGUCCUUUUUUUUUUUUUUUUUUUUUUUUUUCUCCUAUUUUUUUAUUUCAUAAGGUUUUUUUUUCAUUAGUUUUUGCCGAAAUUUUGUUCAUUUCAUUCCCUUCCAUAAAGUGUUAUUUUACCUGCAAUUUAUUGUUGCGCAAAAUUCUAAAAGCAUAGCAAAGAUUUGCGAAAACAUUUUUUUUUUGGCAUGAUUACAGUGAUCCCGUUUGUUUGUUGCCAAAGAGCACAGGUUGAUACACAAUCAACAUUACA